AACACAACACACCACGUGGAGAGAAGCAAGGUGUGGAGUACCCAAGCCUCUCACAGUCCAUGCUAGUAGACUCACCCUGCAUGUGGAGAUCUCCCAAAAUGCACGGAGGUUAUUCCAGAGCUGCAGGACAGAGUACUUGAGGCCAUUGGUGAACAGAAAGCUGAGGUUGAACAAAGCCAAGAAUUGAUAGCUGCCCAAGGUGUAAGCAAGAUUCACAAUGAUGAGGUCAUUGUGACGUGUGCAAUGUGUCCACUGGUCUUGGCCUUCCUGACCAAGGCAGCCACACAAAGGAAAUUCCACGUUAUUGUUGCCGAACGUGCCCCUAAAUAUGAUGUAAGGUGUUUUAUGCGUCUCUUUCACGUCAUCGUGUCUGAUGUGCACAAUACAUAACACAGGGACUGCCACAUGUAGGGGUGAUGGCUUCUUGCAGCUUCCUUUAUUUUAUUAUGUUCUUAUGUUCUCAAUACAUCUUUUACUUGUGCAGGGUCACCCAGUGGCAAAAGCUUUAUGUACUGCUGGAAUUGAGACAACAUUAAUUCAAGACUCUGCAGUGUUCCCCAUCAUGUCACGUGUCAACAAGGUCAUCAAAGGUCAUCGUUGGCACCGAGACGGUGGUGACCAACGGAGGCAUUGAGACCUUUGUUGGUGCAGCCUCUCUUGCCUCACCACCAAAGUUUUAUUCUGUUCCACUGUAUGUGUGCACUCCCACAUACAAAUUUAGCUUGAUGGGCUGUGAAGAAAUAAGCCACCAAACCACCACUUCUAUUAUCCCAGAGGGAACAAAGUUUUGGCCGUCUGUAAAUACUGCGCUGACUCAGCUAGAUUACGUUCCUCCAGAAAAAAAUGUCACCAGUUUGAUAACUAACAAUCGAGGUACUGCACCAUCCUACGUGUACCGGCAGCUUAGCGAACUGUACCGUCCCACUUCUUGUGUAACAAGAAGGUAACAGCUAUAAUCCUUGCAAAUAAGGAAUAAGAGAAAAGAGACACACCUGCCAUUUGUACUGUUAUGCUGUAGUGUUCUGUCAUUUUUUUCCUCUUUUAUCCUUGAACCAUUUUUGGUCAUUCAUGUUUCUAAAAAUUAUUAUACAAAAAUGUUGAGCUUAAUAUGUUUGGUGUAGUUUUUUGUAACAUGUGUUAUUAUUGUUAAUGUGUGUGGUUCCCCUCAGGAAGAAUGUUGCAGUAUUAGCAGUAAUGUUACAGCCAAUGGAAGUGUCUGUAUUGUGCUUUGGUGGGAGGUUAAUUUGAUGUAUUUUUAGAGUUGUGCAGGAUAUUAUAGCAAGCCCUCAAAAUAAAGAAAAUAACUAUAGAAAA
Molecule: long non-coding RNA, 1314 nt
Organism: Scylla paramamosain (green mud crab)
Lineage: Eukaryota; Metazoa; Arthropoda; Malacostraca; Decapoda; Portunidae
Exons: 4
Source: RefSeq, a predicted model, not a curated record